CUACGGGCGGCUGCAGUGAGGAAUAUUGGUCAAUGGACGCAAGUCUGAACCAGCCAUGUCGCGUGAAGGAUGACUGCCCUAUGGGUUGUAAACUUCUUUUAUAUGGGAAUAAUAUGAUUACGAGUAAUCAAAUGCAGGUACCAUAUGAAUAAGCACCGGCUAACUCCGUGCCAGCAGCCGCGGUAAUACGGAGGGUGCAAGCGUUAUCCGGAUUUAUUGGGUUUAAAGGGUGUGUAGGCGGACUAAUAAGUCAGUGGUGAAAUCCUGCAGCUUAACUGUAGAACUGCCAUUGAAAACUGUUAGUCUUGAGUAUAGACGAGGUAGGCGGAAUGAGUUAUGUAGCGGUGAAAUGCAUAGAUAUAACUCAGAACACCGAUUGCGAAGGCAGCUUACUAGACUAUUACUGACGCUGAUGCACGAAAGCGUGGGUAGCGAACAGGAUUAGAUACCCGCGUAGUC
This 459-nucleotide ribosomal RNA is filed under the name uncultured bacterium. Its description in RNAcentral is "partial 16S ribosomal RNA". It matches the Rfam family "Bacterial small subunit ribosomal RNA", at positions 339 to 795 of the family's 1533-position model. The record is from RNAcentral.